GGUGUACUUGCCGUUGGACAAGCGGGUCACCACCCACAUUUCCUUGUACGAGGCACCGACCCACAAUGAGGCUACACUGCCGUCCUCCUGGGGCGUCAGUUGCUUGCCGCUGAUGGGCGACACCAGCGUGACCAAUUGCCACAGGGGCUGCGCCGACGGCGUGGGUGUCGACGAUGGAGUGCGCGUCGGCGACGAUGACGGCGACGGUGCUGGCGUGUUGGAGGGCGUGGGACCCACUGGAUGAUUGUACUCGAUGAUGACGCCGCCGUCGGCGCCCGGCGCGUUCAGGGCGUUGGCGCCGAUGGGCGGGCACGAUCUGCCCGAGCCGCCACCCGAGCCGCUGUUGGCCGGCGGGGGCUGGCGUCCUUCUGCAGUGCGAUAGCCGUAUCCACCAUUGCCAUUGAAGCCGGCAGCGCCGCCCCACGUAAAGCAAUCCAUGUAGAUGCCGCUUACGGUGCCCUGACCGCCGGCCCAGUUGCGGCCGGGCGACGUCCACCCGGCGCCGUGGAUGAAGGGCUGGUCGGGGUCGCCCCCGACGUGGCCAAAGCCCGAGCCGGCUCCGCCUGCCUUGACGUCGCCCACGAGGGCGCCCUGCGACGGACCCGAGAGCGCAUCGUUGUCGGCGGCGCCAGGAGGAUUGCCUGUGCCGGGCGUUGUGCCGCCCGCCGACGAAGCAGCGCCGCCGCCGGCACCGCCGCGGCAAGUGUCCCACUCGUAAAAGGCCGCCCAUGCGCCGCCACCACCAUAGGCCGUGGCGCGAAACAACUCGGCGCCGCCGGGUCCCACGGCCACGAUCGAUGUCUGUCCGCCGUCGCCGCCAGAACCGCCAUCAUAAUUGUCGUCGCUGAGCGUCGUGCCGCCCUUGCCCACGGUGACGAUCCACUGGACGUCGCUCGGUGCGACGGCCCAUUGGCUGUCGCCCACCGUGCGGUUGAGGAUGGCCGAGCCGCUGCCGCCGCCGGCGCCGCAGCGAAAGGACGACGCGGACCCGCCACCGCCGCCCCAGAGCGAGGCCGAGAUGCCGGUGGCGCCCACCGGCGCGGUCCAGUUGGUCGAUGCACCCAGAAAGACCGUGUAGCGGUAGGCGUCGAUCGGUGCAGCGAUGCAGCACAAGAGGGCCGCGAGCGCCACGGUGGCCUUGAAAAUCACGAUCGUCAUUGUCGGCGGGCGCGAGGCGGUGUAUGGAGGACUGCACGGAUUUGGUUUGUUUGCCUGUGGGGCGUAAAGGCUAUUCUUGGCGUCGGGCGGUCUAUUUAUAGAGUGCGGUUGUCUUGCAGUGUGUGCGCCACGAGGCUUGAGCCAAAAAUACAAUAGAACAGCGGUUGCCUCUU
RNAcentral lists this long non-coding RNA (1331 nucleotides) under Pandoravirus celtis. Its description in RNAcentral is "hypothetical ncRNA". The record is from RNAcentral.